GACGAACGCUGGCGGCGUGCUUAACACAUGCAAGUCGAACGGAAAGGCCUCUUUCGGGGGGUACUCGAGUGGCGAACGGGUGAGUAACACGUGAGUAACCUGCCCUUGACUUUGGGAUAACUUCAGUAAACUGGGGCUAAUACCGGAUAGGAGCUCCUGCUGCAUGGUGGGGGUUGGAAAGUUUCGGCGGUUGGGGAUGGACUCGCGGCUUAUCAGCUUGUUGGUGGGGUAGUGGCUUACCAAGGCUUUGCCGGGUAGCCGGCCUGAGAGGGUGACCGGCCACAUUGGGACUGAGAUACGGCCCAGACUCCUACGGGAGGCAGCAGUGGGGAAGAUUGCACAAUGGGUGAAAGCCGGAUGCAGCAACGCCGUGUGCGGGAUGACGGCCUUCGGGUUGUAAACCGCUUUCGCUCAUGACGAAGCUUUGUGUGACGGUAGUGGGUAAAGAAGCACCGGCUAACUACGUG
This 467-nucleotide ribosomal RNA is filed under the name uncultured bacterium. Its description in RNAcentral is "partial 16S ribosomal RNA". It matches the Rfam family "Bacterial small subunit ribosomal RNA", at positions 28 to 507 of the family's 1533-position model. The record is from RNAcentral.